AUACGGAGGGUGCAAGCGUUAAUCGGAAUUACUGGGCGUAAAGCGUGCGUAGGUGGUUUGUUAAGUCAGAUGUGAAAGCCCCGGGCUAAACCUGGGAACUGCAUUUGAAACUGGCAUACUAGAGUAUAGGAGAGGAAAGUGGAAUUUCAGGUGUAGCGGUGAAAUGCGUAGAUAUCUGAAGGAACAUCAAUGGCGAAGGCAGCUUUCUGGACUAAUACUGACACUGAGGUACGAAAGCGUGGGUAGCAAACAGGAUUAGAAACCCUAGUAGUCC
Molecule: ribosomal RNA, 274 nt
Filed under: uncultured bacterium
Lineage: Bacteria
Description: partial 16S ribosomal RNA
Rfam family: Bacterial small subunit ribosomal RNA
Source: RNAcentral